GGUCAUUGCUGAGAUGACUAUUCCCACAGCCAAGGAGCAUGUUGCGAAUUUGUACGUAUCUGUUGCCCUCUGCCCCCCUUGCGUCCUCUGACCGGACCGGAAACCCGCCCAACCCGCCCCCAAACAUCUUAUUUCUUGUUCCUUAGUGAGCUUUUGAAUAAAAAGGCCUAGUGAAGCAACCUUUUCAACGCCUUAUCUAUUUGAAUCUGGAAUUUUGAACGAACGAUCUCUUGUGUCUGAAGUAAUGGAAAAUGCCAAAUUAAUGGAAUCAUCAAUGCUUUGAGCGCACUUUGCGGCCUCUGCUAUUCUGGAAGGCAUGCUUGUUCCAGCGUCUUUUCUGCCCUCAAUGCCGGUUCGAGGGUGGUUCCCCCCCUGUAACCCGUCGGGGCGUGCGGUCUUGGGGAGAGCUCUUCCGGCCCCCGAGCCUUCUCCUUAAUAUCUCGUUGUGCUCGGCCCUGCCUCUCCCGUGCCGUUAAUCCCCCACCUUCUGAAAUUGCGACCUCGGACCACGGCCGAAAACCCCCUAAACUUACUCAUAUGUUGACGUCGAAGAAGGUAGUAAUACCCGCUGAACUUAAGCAUAUCAAUAAGCGGAGGAA
Molecule: ribosomal RNA, 599 nt
Filed under: uncultured Trichoderma
Lineage: Eukaryota; Fungi; Ascomycota; Sordariomycetes; Hypocreales; Hypocreaceae
Description: eukaryotic LSU rRNA
Source: RNAcentral